ACCACGCGGCACUGAGGUCUCAUCUCGGGCCCCCAUGCCAGGCUCUAGGCCAGCCCUGUCAGGAUGGGGCAGAACCCUGGGGGUGGGGGGUCCUGUGGCUGGGCCACUACGCUGCAAGUACAGCAGUGAGAAUGAUAGCCAGGACAGGACACUGGUAGCAAUAGGGGGCUCUGCCCAGGGCUCUCUGCCUGGGUCGGGGCAGGCCGGGUGUCAGGCAGUCGCAUCCCUCGUUUGUUAUCCCCACAGGCAGGAGCUGGAUAAAUACUCAGCCUCCUUCCCGCUUCAGGGGAGUCACUGGAGGGUGCUCAGCAGGGGUACUAAGUCAUCAGCCCUUCCCGGCGUGCCCCUUCCCUACUCCCUGUCUUCCUGAGUCACCUCCCAAAGAAAUGAAUGGCUUCCACGUCAACCCUGGCCUCACAUUCUGCUUCCAGGGAGAGUCAGCCAAAAACAUCAGGAGACAGCCAUGGUGUGGGGACUGUGAGGACCGGGACCCAGACACCAGCACUCCAGCCUGGACACCUGCUCACCGGCAUGUGCACAGAUGUGACUCAAAGUCAUCAGUGCACGAAGAUCACACGAGGACAGAGGCUCCUGGGGCCUGCACAAACCACAGUUCCGGGCGCCCCAGCUCCAGCAGGCCCACACACUCCACCACGGCCUGUCCCCACAUCUGCCCUGGGACAGAGGCUCUCACCCCAUGCAGCCGCGCAGAGAAAGAGCACCCCUUAUUCUCACCGGCAGAGGUGCCAGCAGGGCCCCGCCUCCCAGGGACAGCGAGUCACACCUGCCUACCCACAGCAGCCGCAGGAGCUUUGCUCUCUAAGAAUCGUGUUGUUGGAAGACCAGAGCCUUUGGGGGCUUAGUUAUGCUCUUAGGGUCCUAAAGCCACGUGAGGGUAACUAAGGCCACCACGGUCACACACUCAGACGGGGAAGGGAGGGCAAGAAUGACAUUGACGUUGGCAAACAAGGAAAAACAAGGAAGCGGGUAUCUGCCCUCUAGGAGGUCUCCGCCCUCUCAGGGGUCCCUGCUCUCAGGGGUCUCUGGCCUCUCACAGGUCUCUGCUCUCUUGGAGGUCACUGGCCUCAGAGGUCUCUGACCUCUCAAGAGUCUCUGCCCUCCUGGGGUCUCUGCCCUCUCGGGGGUCUCUGCUCUGGGCGUGCUCUCUUCCGUCUCAGUGCUGUGUCCCUGCCCUGCCUUUCUCCUCUCUGGUAGUCCUGGGCUCCCAGGACCUAAGCUGGCCUUGGAUGAACCCAGUACGGUUCCUCUCCUGCCUGUCUCGGGGCACCUGGACACCGCCAGCAUCCCAUUACUGGACUCUGGUCAAGGAGCUCGGUGUGGAUAACAGAUUGUUUUGGAAACUUCCCACCCUUAGAGGGACUGAGGGGAAUGCCCAGCCCAGCCACAGCUGUCCAGGGCUUUGUUUCUCUGACGUGCCUUACGAGGAGACAGAGUGGCCACCGAGGGGACGGAGCCUGCCAUGUACCGUGUGCAGCGGUGGACCACCAGGCAAGAGCACCACAGGGAGUGUCCAGAGAUCCAGCCUGGGAAGAGCUGCUCGCCACUUCCAGCAAGGAGCACGCAGGCGCGUCCGUUCUUUCUGACCCACACUUUCUAGGGACAGCAGGCCGAGCACCUGGUGUGUGCCGUCCCAGCACGUGCUCUGCAGCCUCUGUCCCAUGUGCGGCUGGCCCAGACCCUCGCUGCUCGGUGUGCGGCUCGCCUGGACCCUCGCUCCUUUGGGCCGUCACUUUCCCUACUUUGCAGACCUGGAAUGCCGUCCCUGCCCCAGCUCCACUGCCCAUGGGUGGCCAUCCAGGAGCCACAGCAGAGUACACACUGCACUGUGACACCCAGGGACUCCCAAUGUGAUGUCCCCGGGGGUCACUGCCCCAGCCCUCAGCGGCCUGCCUCUCUGGGCAUUGCACUGGCAGAAGAAAAUGUCCUCACCAGGUUGGGCGUGGUGGCUCACGUCUGUAAUUCCAGCACUUUGGGAGGCCGAGGCAGGUGGAUCACAAGGUCAGGAGAUCGAGACCAUCGUGGCUAGCAUGAUGAAAUCCUGUUUCUACUAAAAAUACAAAAAAAAAAAAAAAAAUUAGCUGGGCGUGGUGGCGGGUGUCUGUAGUCCCAGCUACUCGGGAGGCUGAGGCAGGAGAAUGGUGUGAACCCAGGAGGUGGAGCUUGCAGUGAGCCGAGAUCGCACCACUGCACUCCAGCCAGGGCGACUGAGCAAGACUCUGUGUCAAAAAAAAAAAAGAAAGAAAAAGAAAAUGUCACCCAAGGUCACGGCCACCAAGGUCACAGGCUGCCAAGGUCAUGGCCGCCCACACCGGGCAGCUGACCUCCAGGGUCAUCCUCGGGAAAUGCCCACCUGGUCCCACCUGACCGCCCUGACUGUCUGCCCCAUCACCCGCAUCACUGCACUCCAGCCUGGGAGACAGAGCAAGACUCCGUCUCAAAAAAAAAAGAAAAAGAAAAGAAAAGGAAAAAAGAACUCUAUGUUCUCUAUUUCAAAUGCAGGGAGCAUCUCUCGGUUUAAACCGUAAGUGCCCUUCCCAACUCGGCAGACCCGCCCCAGUGAAGAGCAUCUUCAUGACUUGGGAACAGGACACUCACCUUGUCACUAGGCAGGGCUGUACUCACUGGCUCGGGUGGGCGCCCAGGUAGGAGACAAAGCACUUCCCCACGGCACGUGGACGGCUUCCGUGUGCCACAUGACCAGUCAGUGUGAGAAAAACGCAACCCCCAGUGACUGCUGUAGAGGACAGUUCAGCCAGAACUCAAACUGCCACCGUCAUCUGUGGAGACCUUGAUUUCACAGGGCCUGGUGGUGCUGAAAUACUCAGAACAUCUUGAAUGAAUGAAUGUCCACUUCCUUCACCAACUCUGUGCUGGGGAGGGGGCAGGGCCCUUGCGGGAUCAGGAGCCCCUCCCCUGGGGCCCAGCCUCGAACCCCUUAAGUGAUCAGGAGAUACAGACGACACCCUGAAUGAUGACACCGAGCUGUUUCCAAUCUCUUGCUUGUCCCAGCGAGCACAGCGAGCACAUCUUUCCUUGUGCUCCGGGCAAACCCCUGCGGCAUCAGCUCCUACCGCGAAAUUGGUGUUUCUGGGUCACAGUGUUUGUGCCUUUGUGAUUUUGUUGUUAUUGCCAAAUACCCUCUGCAGAAUUGUGCCACGGCACCUCCCCGCCAGCCUGAGUGUUUGCAAUGAAACGCUUUAGCUCGCCUGACAUUUCUGCCAGCGUAUUCCACAGCAUGCUCUCUCUGCCACAUUAAUCAACAGGAGCGCAGAGGAAAACUUGAACUUCAGGCUGAGCCAUUUCCUGC
This is a long non-coding RNA of Macaca fascicularis (crab-eating macaque), 3328 nucleotides long. The record is from Ensembl. Lineage: Eukaryota; Metazoa; Chordata; Mammalia; Primates; Cercopithecidae.